Molecule: ribosomal RNA, 254 nt
Filed under: uncultured bacterium
Lineage: Bacteria
Description: partial 16S ribosomal RNA
Rfam family: Bacterial small subunit ribosomal RNA
Source: RNAcentral
UACAGAGGUCACAAGCGUUAUCCGGAUUUAUUGGGCGUAAAGCGUUUCGUAGGUGAUUUGUUAAGUUGCUCUUCAAAUACCAAGGCUCAACCUUGGGAAGGGGAGUAAGACUGGCAGAAUUGAAUAGUGGUGGGGUUUCUGGAACUGGUGGUGUAGUAGUGAAAUACGUUGAUAUCAUCAGGAACUCCAAGGGCGAAGGCAGGAAACUAACCAUUUAUUGACACUGAGGAACGACAGCUAGGGUAGCGAAAGGG